GAUGAAGAACGUAGCGAAAUGCGAUAAAUAAUGUGAAUUGCAGAAUUCAGUGAAUCAUCGAGUCUUUGAACGCACAUUGCGCCCCCUGGUAUUCCGGGGGGCAUGCCUGUCCGAGCGUCAUUGCUACCCUCAAGCACGGCUUGUGUGUUGGGCCCCCGUCCCCCCCUCCCGGGGGACGGGCCCGAAAGGCAGCGGCGGCACCGCGUCCGGUCCUCGAGCGUAUGGGGCUUUGUCACCCGCUCUGUAGGCCCGGCCGGCGCCUGCCGACCACCAUCAAUCUUUUUUCAGGUUGACCUCGGAUCAGGUAGGGAUACCCGCUGAACUUAAGCAUAUCAAUAAGCGGAGGA
RNAcentral lists this unclassified non-coding RNA (347 nucleotides) under soil metagenome. Its description in RNAcentral is "partial contains 5.8S ribosomal RNA, internal transcribed spacer 2, and large subunit ribosomal RNA". The stretch from base 1 to 120 matches the Rfam family "5.8S ribosomal RNA", at positions 35 to 154 of the family's 154-position model. The record is from RNAcentral.